CUUUAGCUCAAUUGGAUAGAGCAUCUGACUACGGAUCAGAAGGUUGGGGGUUCGACUCCCUCAAGG
Molecule: transfer RNA, 66 nt
Filed under: human gut metagenome
Also listed under: 1 other name
Rfam family: tRNA
About the family: Transfer RNA (tRNA) molecules are approximately 80 nucleotides in length.
Source: RNAcentral